This 835-nucleotide ribosomal RNA is filed under the name uncultured organism. Its description in RNAcentral is "bacterial SSU rRNA". It matches the Rfam family "Bacterial small subunit ribosomal RNA", at positions 9 to 821 of the family's 1533-position model. The record is from RNAcentral.
GAGUUGAUCCUGGCUCAGAACGAACGCUGGCGGCGUGGCUAAGGCAUGCAAGUCGGACGGGACUCAUUCGGUAGUAAUACUGGAUGAGUUUAGUGGCGGACGGGUGAGUAAUGCAUGGGUAACGUACCCCAGGCACAGGGAUAGCGGUGCGAAAGCGCCGGUAAUACCUGGUGAUAUCCGGGAGUCGCAUGGCUUCUGGAUCAUAGGUGGGGACCUUCGGGCCUACUGGCCUGGGAUCGGCCCAUGUCCUAUCAGCUUGUUGGUGGGGUAAUGGCCUACCAAGGCGAAGACGGGUAGCCGGCGUGAGAGCGCGACCGGCCACAUCGGGACUGAGACACUGCCCGGACACCUACGGGUGGCUGCAGCAACGAAUAUUCCGCAAUGGGCGCAAGCCUGACGGAGCGACGCCGCGUGGAGGAUGAAGUCUUUCGGGAUGUAAACUUCAAUAGUUUGUCAGGAAGCAAAGGGACCUAAUACGUCCCGGCGUUGACCAGCGAACGAAAGGGGCGGCUAACUCCGUGCCAGCAGCCGCGGUAAGACGGAGGCCCCUAGCGUUGUUCGGAAUCACUGGGCUUAAAGAGGGUGUAGGCGGAGCAGCAAGUACUUUGUGAAAGCCCCGGGCUCAACCCGGGAAUUGCUUGGUAUACUGUUGCUCUUGAGGCAGGUAGGGGUCACUGGAACCUUAGGUGGAGCGGUGAAAUGCGUAGAUAUCUAAGGGAACGCCUGUGGCGAAAGCGGGUGACUGGGCCUGUCCUGACGCUGAGACCCGAAAGCGUAGGGAGCAAACAGGAUUAGAUACCCUGGUAGUCUACGCCGUAAACGAUGCGCACUAGGU